RNAcentral lists this unclassified non-coding RNA (348 nucleotides) under uncultured fungus. Its description in RNAcentral is "partial contains 5.8S ribosomal RNA and internal transcribed spacer 2". The stretch from base 1 to 133 matches the Rfam family "5.8S ribosomal RNA", at positions 22 to 154 of the family's 154-position model. The record is from RNAcentral. Lineage: Eukaryota; Fungi.
UGGUUCCGGCAUCGAUGAAGAACGCAGCGAAAUGCGAUAAGUAAUGUGAAUUGCAGAAUUCAGUGAAUCAUCGAAUCUUUGAACGCAUAUUGCGCCCUCUGGUAUUCCGGUGGGCACGUUUGUUCGAGCGUCAUUGAACACCCCUCAAGCUCUGCUUGGUGUUGGGCGCGCGUCGCGCAGCGACGCGCCCGAAAUGAACUUUGGCUGCGGGGUCCCACUCCGAGCGCUGCGAGGCGUACCAACGUCAUGCGCUGCGGAGGCGGGCCCGGCCGGCCAGCAAAUAACAAAGGGAGCCGCGAGCGGCCUCCCUCCAAGUUUGACCUCGGAUCAAAUGGGGAUACCCGCUGA